This 4899-nucleotide long non-coding RNA is filed under the name Brassica rapa (field mustard). RNAcentral describes it as "long non-coding RNA (BRAP_LNC006479)". The record is from RNAcentral. Lineage: Eukaryota; Viridiplantae; Streptophyta; Magnoliopsida; Brassicales; Brassicaceae.
CAACACUCUCCGCGUUGUAGGAACUUUGUAAGUUCACAUCAAUAAUCACUGCAAAGAACUGUUUUUCAUCCAUGCUAAGACCCGCAAUAUUACUGUCCUGAGCAAACCAGCUUCAUGUAACUUGAUGUGAGACUUGCCAAGUACCUGAAACUUUCUUACGUACAGAGACAACACAAAGAUUCUACCAAGAACAUGAUCAUCACCACACAAGUUCAUUCAUUUGACUUAUUAACCCUCAGCCAAAAUAACUUUGAAACUAUAGAUCUAUUAAACCUUUCUUGUUCUAAAUAAUUCCCUGUCUUAGAUUCACAUUUAGCUGCAAUUCUUCCCUGAGUUCCUAAAGCCUCAAAUAGUGUCAAACCAGUCAUUAACAUAAGAAAUUUUACUCCUAAGGCGUCCCCUAGACAUAAAAUUUCUAAGAAGUUCCAACAGGUUAUCUAACAACAUGUACUACAAUACAUAUAUAUAUGACUUUAUAUCAGUUCAUAGCAAUUCAAUAUGAGCAGCAAACCUCCAUAAAAGAUACAUGUCUCCAUGACCUUUCUCUUUUAUGCACAUCACAAGAUUGAUAUCUCUCUGUACCUGAAUCUGCCAAGACAAUCACAGAACAAGAAACAAAAGGUUAAUGAAUAAUAAUCAGUUUCAUACUUUUACCUUGGAGUCACAUAGAAAUAUGCAGAUCUCUCCAAGCCUUUGUGUCUAGUGACCAAUGAUCAAAUUGAUUCCUGAAUCUUGAUUUCUCCAGUGUCUGUUGUACUUCCACUUGCGAUACUUAACGCAAAACUCGUAGCACUUCAGGCUGUAAGCAACGACUUUGCUUAUUCCAUCUUCCAGAAAACCAGAAAACCAAUCUUCUUCGCUAAAUAUCCAGAAAACCAGAAACCGGCUUUCUCCAGCAAGAUUCUUCGCUAAAUAUCCCCUUCUUGUGGAUUCCAUAAAGAAUCAAUCCAAGAUCAGCCACAGAAUCUUCCUCCUUCCAGAUCCCGAUAAUGCAGAACCAAACGAUUUCGUCGAUUCUCUUGUUUAUGAACAGCUGACUUGAAGAAAUUAACUUACACCUCUUCAACGAAUCAGAUAUCGCCUUCACCGACGAACUUCUUCUUGCUCAUCGGAUACUCCAUCGAAGCCGAUAAAGAACUUACUGCUUCCGUCUCUGACUUCGACGAAACUUGAUUCAUCCUUCUAUUUCUUCACCUCGAGGAAUCACGAACUCCGUGAAUCGACUGAACCUAUGAAUCGCCAAACCACGGCUCUGAUACCACUUGUUACGCGGAAACCCUAAGUGUUUGAUUCAGAUUAUGAUCACUCUUCUCUCAGCUCAAGAACUCUCACUCUCAGUUUGUACGAAAGAAAACGAAGCAAGAAAAUAAAGGACACAAGAGGUUUUGUUCACCCGGUGUUCACCGCACUUCUCCGAUGUGGAGAAGCCGCUAUACAUCACCGGGGCUGGGCAGAGCCAGCAAUCCACUAUCAACGAAGAUCGAGCUCUCUCUCAAAUCAGAGAACACUCGAAAAAGAAGAGAUACAGUGUUUGUUACGCUCUGUACAACUUGUACCAAAGCUCUCGGUUUAAUCCUUUUAUAUGAAUAAGGACUUAACCGGAAAUUACAAUCAACUUAUAUCAAACCAAUAUAUACCAACAUAACCAGUGGCUUGUGAUACGUGACUUCUUUCUUCUUUUUGUUGACCAGAGCUGAAACACAUUUCAACAUUCUCCACCUUGUUUUAGCUCUCAACAACUUCAUCUCUUGUGUUAAAACAUCUUCGUGAUCUCCUGUGGAUUUCUCUGGAAUCUACACCUCCAGCAACAGAGCCUUAAGCUCCUUCAAGCUUCUACACCCUUGAGCAAGUCUGACACGUCACUGAGCUUGCUAACCGGUAGACCUUUAGAAGCGCCAUCAAUGAAUAGAACGUGCGAGACCUUCUCUGUGAACGUCAACUCCGCACUGAUUUUCUGUGUCGCUAACACUCCAAUCCUUUAUUGAGUUAUACACCAGCUUUAACACUGACUUGUAUUUUAGCAAAACUCUCCAUUGAUUUCUUCAUGCUGCUGUAGCUUGAAUACUUGCGAGAACCACUCAGCAACUCCCGUUAACAAGUUACGUUUGUUUGAUCGAACUUGUUAAUCACAACAGAAUUCUCCAUAAGCUCCACCAACUCAUGAACUCUCCCUCCAAUCACACAGUAUCCUCUGUAGUUUCUGUCAAUACCACAGACCUGUUGCAGUGACUGAAACUCACUUAUCCCUUUGACAUCACCUUGCUAGCUUCUAGGUUUCUUCCUCAUGCGCAUGUAGACCAAAACCCUUUAAAUCCACUAGAACCAGAUGCAAAGAACACCAAAUGUUGAAGUUUCUAUCUUGAAACUCUUCCAUUUACCCUGUAACCAAUCUCACCAACAGCUGACACCACUGCAGAAACCUGAGAUCCACCUUUACAACAACCUGUCUAACCAGAUAACCUUGAACACUUUGAUUUCUCAAUCAUCCUGUUAAAAACAGAACCCACUAGCAGCUUUGGAACCCACUACUAGCACUCAUAUACUCUGUCUCAUAUCCUGAGACAACUCCUUCCAGCCGCUUCUACAUCACAUCUAGAAUCCAUGAUGACCUUGAGCUGUAACAGUAUCCUGCAAUACAUUCUCCCAUAUGCAGUCUCCACCAUAAAACUUGCUUCAUGUAUCUUUACCAGAUACUACUUGACUUGAAUCUCUUUAUAACCAAUCAGCUUCACUUGUAUUGUGCCUCUGAUACUUCUGAAUUCAUCACUUGACUGUUAUGUAAGUGAUCCCUGAGAUGAUCCCUAAGCCUUCUUAUGAUGCCGACACUAGAACACGUCUAGUCGUUAUCUUCAAAUGCAAUUUGAUCUCUCAUGCAUUUUUCGUCUUCUUCUGAGAUUUUUCUUUUAGUUUCAUCUCCAGCCUUGAGAUGGCAUAUUCACUAUGAUGAAUACAUAACAGCUUCCAGCUACUUUGAAGUUUCUGACCUGCAUUCGCUCAUGCUAACGUGGAAUUUAUUCCCUCAAUAUCUCUUCAGAGAUCCCACUGAACACUUCAAAUUAUCCUCAUCUCAAGCUCAUACUCUAGUAUCUGCUCUGAAACUUUAGAGAACUUGCAACUUGUAUCUCCAUACUUCUAUCAAAAUCCACAAGUUCCUUCUCGAACUCAACAAGACAUACCUUUUGGUCAUCGAAUGAGACCAGUCCAUGCUUGAAUAUCUUACACUAACACGAUCUUGAUUACCUUUUGUCUUCUCAAGACACUGAACACCCACGAGCCUCAACUUUCACAGUAAACAACUUCCAUCCAACUCCUAGUCUUGAACAAACCAGAUCACAUAACCAGACCAACUGAUUUAUCUGAAGCAACCCAGACAUUUUCUAAACAAGAAUGUGACACUCCACCAGGAACCAAGAACCCAUAUUCUGAGGAUGCAUCACUCAUUACAUAAUAUUGAUAGCUCCACCUGAACAAACAAUCAUUUAGAAGUUCCAUGUCUCUGCAAACUUAAUUGAGCUGAACAUCCAUUCACUGUCACUUUGACCACUAUAAACCCUGGUGUAACAGGCUGAAUGAAUAGCUUCCAUGUUGUACUGGAUAUCAGUCCCAAACACACCAUUCUUCAUCUUGCAGCCACUUCAGUUUAUCUUGUACCAGAAGAUAAAGAACACUCCUUUGCUUAUUUUUAAAUCAACCUUAGCUUCACUCACUUAGAUUUAAUUCUCCAAACUCUGCACCCACAUCAAGUUGUUUGAUGUACUUGAAGAAACAUCACGAGCCACCUUAUCCUUCAUUAAGCAUUUAGCUUGGAGCCUUUCACACAUUCUGAUUGUAGACAACCUUAAGACUGAUUUCUUCAUCAAUCUCCACCUCAGACCUGAAACCAAAAAAACCUUUGACCUCUUCUUCAUCAAAACCGACAUAUACCAAAUGUGUACCGUUGUUUGGACAAACUGAUAGUUCGAACAAACAAGACACGCCGUCUAACACCCAAUAUUAGAAAGACUUUCGACACACUACUAUGGCAUAUCCCAUUGCAUGAUAAAACUGAGAAACCUCCACACAGAAUAUGCAACCUCCACUGCCAAUCACCACUUCGUAGUUAACAUCCACUGAAUAAGACUUUCUUCAAUUGUUGCACAUGCUCCUGUUGCAGAAACUUUGAACCAUUUCCGAAGCUUAUUUUUCUCACUGAGAACUCCAACUUGUGUAUGCCUCAAUGACGUACAAGACCUCACAAAAGUUCCCAAUUGUUCUUAUCACACGAACCAUCUGUUCCAGCACACAACUGGUUGUAGCACACACAAAUAUCUUGAUCUCUGAAAAUUUCAGGAAGCUUCACACCAAUACAAGAGACUUUAUCCAAUUUCUUUCUUUUGUAUUUUCUUCUUGCUGCUUCCUUCCUGAUGAUCUUAAAUAAACCUUGAUCAUCACAAGCUGUAAACCCCGAAGCUUUAACUGCAUCAGUAUAAUCUGAGCUUGAAACACCAAAUACUUGAGCAGCCUCUGUAUCACCCAGAACAGCUUCACAACGAUCACUUGUUGGUGUUGAUAUACCAACUAGCUUUAAGUAUCUUUCCAGUCUACUAUACCGCCUCAAGUUCACAUCAAUAAUCACUGCAAAGAACUGUUUUUCAUCCAUGCUAAGACCCGCAAUAUUACUGUCCUGAGCAAACCAGCUUCAUGUAACUUGAUGUGAGACUUGCCAAGUACCUGAAACUUUCUUACGUACAGAGACAACACAAAGAUUCUACCAAGAACAUGAUCAUCACCACACAAGUUCAUUCAUUUGACUUAUUAACCCUCAGCCAAAAUAACUUUGAAACUAUAGAUCUAUUAAACCUUUCUUGUUCUAAAUAAUUCCCUGUCUUAGAUUCACAUUUAGCUGCAAUUCUUCCCUGA